ACCGGAGGUGUACCUGAC
Molecule: ribosomal RNA, 18 nt
Filed under: Plumatella sp. 1 HH-2013
Lineage: Eukaryota; Metazoa; Bryozoa; Phylactolaemata; Plumatellidae
Description: partial 12S ribosomal RNA
Source: RNAcentral